This 450-nucleotide ribosomal RNA is filed under the name uncultured bacterium. RNAcentral describes it as "partial 16S ribosomal RNA". It matches the Rfam family "Bacterial small subunit ribosomal RNA", at positions 354 to 796 of the family's 1533-position model. The record is from RNAcentral.
GUGGGGAAUUUUGGACAAUGGGCGCAAGCCUGAUCCAGCAAUGCCGCGUGCAGGAAGAAGGCCUUCGGGUUGUAAACUGCUUUUGUACGGAACGAAACGGUCCGGGUUAAUACCCUGGGCUAAUGACGGUACCGUAAGAAUAAGCACCGGCUAACUACGUGCCAGCAGCCGCGGUAAUACGUAGGGUGCAAGCGUUAAUCGGAAUUACUGGGCGUAAAGCGUGCGCAGGCGGUUUUGUAAGACAGAGGUGAAAUCCCCGGGCUCAACCUGGGAACUGCCUUUGUGACUGCAAGGCUAGAGUACGGCAGAGGGGGAUGGAAUUCCGCGUGUAGCAGUGAAAUGCGUAGAUAUGCGGAGGAACACCGAUGGCGAAGGCAAUCCCCUGGGCCUGUACUGACGCUCAUGCACGAAAGCGUGGGGAGCAAACAGGAUUAGAUACCCUGGUAGUCC